UCACUUAAUGAUGUUGUUCUUCAUAAUUGAUGAGAAUAAGAAAUAAAUAUAUGAUGGUCACAUAUCUUAGGACAAGUAAGGUAUUAGGUCCUGAAUAUAUGGAUAUUCAAAGAUUAAUAAUAUCUCGAUCCAGAGAUUGACACUUCAUAUGUGAUAUGAUGUGUUCUCUACAAUGCUUCACAAAUCUUUUUAUCUCAUUUUGAAAAAUAUCCUAAAAAUUAUUAUAUAUGUUAGAUAUCAUCAAAAUC
This 248-nucleotide long non-coding RNA is filed under the name Elaeis guineensis (African oil palm). Its description in RNAcentral is "long non-coding RNA (EGUI_LNC068531)". Lineage: Eukaryota; Viridiplantae; Streptophyta; Magnoliopsida; Arecales; Arecaceae. The record is from RNAcentral.